UACGUAGGGUGCAAGCGUUGUCCGGAAUUAUUGGGCGUAAAGAGCUCGUAGGCGGUCUGUCGCGUCGGAUGUGAAAAUUCAGGGCUCAACCCUGGACCUGCAUUCGAUACGGGCAGACUAGAGUUCGGUAGGGGAGACUGGAAUUCCUGGUGUAGCGGUGAAAUGCGCAGAUAUCAGGAGGAACACCGGUGGCGAAGGCGGGUCUCUGGGCCGAAACUGACGCUGAGGAGCGAAAGCGUGGGUAGCAAACAGG
This 253-nucleotide ribosomal RNA is filed under the name uncultured bacterium. RNAcentral's name for it is "partial 16S ribosomal RNA". It matches the Rfam family "Bacterial small subunit ribosomal RNA", at positions 524 to 776 of the family's 1533-position model. The record is from RNAcentral.